AUUUUCUUUGCACUGACUUUAGGGAGCCAGCCGCUUCCCGUGUUAGCACUCGGGUGCCAGGUGGCCAAAAACACGGGGCAAAGGUUUUCCUAGUUAAGUCGUGGUAUCCACAGCUGUAGCUCUGAGGAAGGAACAGGGCCAUUUGCGGCACUUCGUGCUGUGUGAAGGCAAGAUUUGCCCUCCAACUCUCGAACUCCCUUCUAUCCUGGGGGUGAGGGCGGGGAGCCUGCUCUUUCUCUCUCCCAAGCUUUAGUAGGAGAGGGAGAAGAGUGUGGGGCCCAGGCCUGGCCCAAGACCCGCUGAGGCAGGGCUGGUGAGGGUCUUGGUAACAGUCGCCGCAGGGUAAUUCGCAGCCUGUACUACAAGGACCCUGAGCAUUCCCCGGGCGGUACCUGAGCAGAUUAGGCCGAACAAACAACUUUCAUAUAGCCUCUGUCACAUUGGGCUAUAUUCCAAGGAUGAAGCCUGUGGUGUUCAAAUGUGGAAAUGGAGCUACAGAGAGCUAACUUUUUAAAUCCCUUGGUGCCCUAUCAUUGAUCCCUACACUGGAGAUUAACAUGGCAGGUCCCUGACUUUAGUCAUUUCCAUUUCACCCCUGUUGAGAUUCUGUCUCAUGAGUAACCUGACAGCCAGCUAGGCCCAACACAGUUUCAUGGGCUCACCACAUGUGAUCUUUUUGUCAUCAAGGGCCAGGUGAAAUGAGCAAGUCUGUGUUGUUGGAGAGUGAAAAAGCUGGCCAAAUCAUCUGCACAAUGUCCCUUGCCCAGCAGUUCUGUGUGAAAACCAAAAUCAUGCUUGGAAUUUCCAGAUUUCUCCAGUGCUUGCGGUUCCAACAUUUCCUCGUGGUGGCACAGACCGGCAACCUAGCCAGUCUUGGUGAACUGUCAAGAUCCAAAGUACAGCAGGAGACCUUCCUCGAGGAAAGAGUCUAUUUGUGAUGCUGGGAACACAUGUGGAAGUGACCUGUGCAGUCUCCCGAAUGACAAGCAGAGCUCUACUCUUAGUCUUCGGACUGUGAAAUCACCACAAAGAUGCCCAUGGAGGUGGAGAUGUACUCAGUGUCCAGGUGUAACUCAUUCGGGCUCUGUGAGGGCUGCCACAUGAGGAAGAAAACUCCUCUUUGGCAUCUG
This 1130-nucleotide long non-coding RNA is filed under the name Heterocephalus glaber (naked mole-rat). RNAcentral describes it as "lncRNA (ENSHGLG00100038842.1)". Lineage: Eukaryota; Metazoa; Chordata; Mammalia; Rodentia; Bathyergidae. The record is from RNAcentral.